Molecule: ribosomal RNA, 207 nt
Filed under: uncultured bacterium
Lineage: Bacteria
Description: partial 16S ribosomal RNA
Rfam family: Bacterial small subunit ribosomal RNA
Source: RNAcentral
CUCGUAGGCGGCCAACUAAGUCAGACGUGAAAUCCCUCGGCUUAACCGGGGAACUGCGUCUGAUACUGGAUGGCUCGAAUCCGGGAGAGGGAUGCGGAAUUCCAGGUGUAGCGGUGAAAUGCGUAGAUAUCUGGAGGAACACCGGUGGCGAAGGCGGCAUCCUGGACCGGCAUUGACGCUGAGGAGCGAAAGCCAGGGGAGCAAACG